UCUGAGGACAGGGGUUACCCUGAUUGGUGA
RNAcentral lists this non-coding RNA (30 nucleotides) under Rattus norvegicus (Norway rat). The record is from RNAcentral. Lineage: Eukaryota; Metazoa; Chordata; Mammalia; Rodentia; Muridae.